This 245-nucleotide ribosomal RNA is filed under the name uncultured Geobacillus sp. RNAcentral describes it as "partial 16S ribosomal RNA". It matches the Rfam family "Bacterial small subunit ribosomal RNA", at positions 524 to 768 of the family's 1533-position model. Lineage: Bacteria; Bacillati; Bacillota; Bacilli; Caryophanales; Anoxybacillaceae. The record is from RNAcentral.
UACGUAGGGGGCGAGCGUUGUCCGGAAUUAUUGGGCGUAAAGCGCGCGCAGGCGGUCUCUUAAGUCUGAUGUGAAAGCCCACGGCUCAACCGUGGAGGGUCAUUGGAAACUGGGGGACUUGAGGGCAGGAGAGGAGAGCGGAAUUCCACGUGUAGCGGUGAAAUGCGUAGAGAUGUGGAGGAACACCAGUGGCGAAGGCGGCUCUCUGGCCUGCACCUGACGCUGAGGCGCGAAAGCGUGGGGAG